AACGAACGCUGGCGGCAUUCCUAACACAUGCCAGUCGAACGAGACCUUCGGGUCUAGUGUCGCACGGGUGCGUAACGCGUGGGUACCUGCCCUUAGGUUCGGAAUAACUCCCCGAAAGGGGUGCUAAUACCGGAUAAUGUCUUCGGACCAAAGAUUUAUCGCCUUUGGAUGGGCCCGCGUUGGAUUAGCUAGUUGGUAGGGUAAAAGCCUACCAAGGCGACGAUCCAUAGCUGGUCUGAGAGGAUGAUCAGCCACACUGGGACUGAGACACGGCCCAGACUCCGACGGGAGGCAGCAGUGGGGAAUGUUGGACAAUGGGCGAAAGCCUGAUCCAGCAAUGCCGCGUGAGUGAUGAAGGCCUUAGGGUUGUAAAGCUCUUUUACCCGGGAUGAUAAUGACAGUACCGGGAGAAUAAGCUCCGGCUAACUCAGUG
Molecule: ribosomal RNA, 433 nt
Filed under: uncultured bacterium
Lineage: Bacteria
Description: partial 16S ribosomal RNA
Rfam family: Bacterial small subunit ribosomal RNA
Source: RNAcentral